UCUGGGGCCUUACCUCUGUACCUGCGGUGGCAUGGUACACACGGCGCAGGGAGUCGCCGUCAACGGACGACAGUAGCUACUGUAGAGACGGAGAAACUGCUGGCCAGGUCGCUACAGGUGGGUGUGGGUGCGCCCCCCUCCCCCUCCCCUCGCACCGCCGGCGAGCACGACGGCCGCAGGCCCGCAGGCAGGAAGUUGGGGAGGACCGCCGGACGGCUGCGAGGUUUGUGAAGCUUCUGCGCGUCUCCGUGGAAGCGAGCAGGGGGUCAAUCCCGCGUUCGUGGCUCCUCUCGUUGUUCCUCGGAGAGUCGGAGUUGGACUCGAGUCUUUUUUCUGCGAGUGAUUGGACUCGUGCCCUUCUUGUUCUGUUCUGGACACAGCAGGGAGCAUCUCAGGCGCUAAGAUCAUCUCCAACAGUGGCGGUAAAAGACGCGGGGAAAUGUGAAUUUAACGCUGGCGGAGCGGUUUGGUGCGUUUCAUUGGACGCGGU
RNAcentral lists this long non-coding RNA (490 nucleotides) under Hordeum vulgare. Its description in RNAcentral is "long non-coding RNA (HVUL_LNC004560)". The record is from RNAcentral. Lineage: Eukaryota; Viridiplantae; Streptophyta; Magnoliopsida; Poales; Poaceae.